This 463-nucleotide ribosomal RNA is filed under the name uncultured bacterium. RNAcentral's name for it is "partial 16S ribosomal RNA". It matches the Rfam family "Bacterial small subunit ribosomal RNA", at positions 28 to 507 of the family's 1533-position model. The record is from RNAcentral.
GACGAACGCUGGCGGCGUGCUUAACACAUGCAAGUCGAACGGUGAACCUCUUCGCAGGGGGUCAUUGGCGAACGGGUGGGUAACACGUAGGCAACUUGCCCCCGCCUCUGUGAUAACUCCAAGAAAUUGGGGCUAAUAACUGAUGUUCACCGCUUCCCGCUGGGUGGGUGGUGUAAAGGGUUUCCGGCUGUUGAUGGUCGCUUGGCCGAUCAUCUGGUUGUUGGUGUAGUGGUCUCCCAAGGCGACGAUGGCUAGUCGGCCGGGGAUGGGGACCGGCCACAAGGGGCCUGAGGCAGGGCCCAGCAUCCAACGGGGGGCAGAGGGGGGAAAAAUUGAGCAAUGGGGGGAAGCUGGAGGCGGAGACGCCGGGUGGGGAAUGACGGCUUUCGGGUUGUAAACGUCUUUGAGCAGGGACGAAGCGCAAGUGACGGUACCUGCAGAAGAAGCACCGGCUAACUACGUG